Molecule: non-coding RNA, 93 nt
Organism: Mycena vulgaris
Lineage: Eukaryota; Fungi; Basidiomycota; Agaricomycetes; Agaricales; Mycenaceae
Source: the annotation of a GenBank genome assembly
GGCCUGGUGGUGUAGGGGUUACACGCCCAUUAAUAAUGGAUGUGAGGAAAUUUGUCUUUGUGGGAAUCCCUUGUUCGAGUCAAGGCCAGGCCA